GAUGAAGAACGUAGCGAAAUGCGAUAAGUAAUGUGAAUUGCAGAAUUCAGUGAAUCAUCGAAUCUUUGAACGCACAUUGCGCCCCCUGGUAUUCCGGGGGGCAUGCCUGUCCGAGCGUCAUUACAACCCUCAAGCUCAGCUUGGUAUUGGGCCCCGCCGACCCGGCGGGCCCUAAAGUCAGUGGCGGUGCCGUCCGGCUCCGAGCGUAGUAAUUCUUCUCGCUCUGGAGGUCCGGUCGUGUGCUCGCCAGCAACCCCCAAUUUUUUUCAGGUUGACCUCGGAUCAGGUAGGGAUACCCGCUGAACUUAAGCAUAUCAUAAGCGGAGGA
Molecule: unclassified non-coding RNA, 328 nt
Filed under: soil metagenome
Description: partial contains 5.8S ribosomal RNA, internal transcribed spacer 2, and large subunit ribosomal RNA
Rfam family: 5.8S ribosomal RNA (bases 1-120)
Source: RNAcentral